Non-coding RNA from Sus scrofa (pig), 1924 nucleotides. The record is from RefSeq and is a predicted model, not a curated record. NCBI's taxonomy places the organism in Eukaryota, Metazoa, Chordata, Mammalia, Artiodactyla, Suidae.
UUCUUUUUCCAUUUUUGGCCAAUGCAGAAAUUCCUGGGUAGGAAUUGAACCUGCACCAUAGCAGCAACCUGAGCCACUGCAAUGAUGCCAGAUCCUUAACCCACUGCACCACAAGACAACUCCUAGAUUGCUUUUAAAAGCCUUAUACCCUGUUGAAGACUUCUGUUGAACGAUGAACACCAGCUGAAAUGAUCUUCUCUGGAAACUAUGGAGGAAUGACUACUUGAACUCAGACUCUGUAAAUGUUUUAUUGUCUCAGACUGUGCUCAUCAGAGUCCCAGCCAAGUCAAUUUCAACUUUUUUUGGAGCCAGAUUUGUUCUUGUGCUUUUAGGAAAAUGGCCAUAUUUUCAUUUCCCUUCUUGAUAUACUUAUAUUUUCUUUUUAUUGCAGUGCCUGUAUGCUUUGACACUGGAACUCUAACAAGCCUUUCUUAUUGGUUGCUCAGUUAGUAUAUUACUAGUUUGAGUUAUUGAUGUGGACAAGUCUUAUAGUUAUAAGAGCUUUGUGCAAACCCAGGGAACAAUAGAAUUGCAAAAGAGAAAUUCAUGUCACGAGAUCCUAAGAAUAAAACAGAAGAAAAGAGGCUAUCAUAUUUUGGCAGAAUAACUCACAUUUAACUGAUUAAACUUGAUUUCAUUCUCCUGGUCACUUGCUUAGGCAAGUAUAUUUGUUUCUGGGAGUGUGAAAACAUCCAAGGUGUUCUCAUGGCUUGGCUUUUUAAAUAUUUAUCUUACAAAGGUAUAACUACAGCAGACUGUCGGGGUGUCAUCUAGUCAGGACUACAUGAAAAAAAAUGCUAAGUUGGUUGACCUGAGAGUCUGAGGUCAAAUAUCUACAGGCUCUACUGAGCCCUCUGUAGUCUUCUUCUCUCUGUAUGCCUCCACUUUGUGCUUGGUCUCUAGGACUAAUCUUGACUUUGGCUGGAGAGAUUUAAGGAGCUCCAACAGAAUUCUUGGGGCCUCUUCACCAAAUGACACCUCUUUUUAUCUGGUUCUGACCUUGUUUCCAGACCUUAGAAGUGGACUGCUGCCUGAUUCCAAGACUAUAAAGCCAUAGGAAACAAGACAGUAUGUAUUAAUGCAAAGACAGACAAAUCAGUAGAAUGAAAAAAAAAGUCUAGAAAUAGACUUACACAAUUAAUUUUUGACAAAUGUGCCAAACCAAUUAAUUCAACGGAGAAAGGAUAAUCUUUAUAACAAAUGAUGUGGGAACAAUUGGACAGUCAUGUGCAACAAAUUUAAUCCUGACCCUUCCUUGAAAUGAUAUACAAGAAAAAAACUCAAACUGAACUGUAGAUCAAAAUGUAAGCAUUAUGUUUAACCAUAACAAACAAAACAAAAAUUUUAAAAGAGAACAUAGGAAAAAAUCUUAGUGACUUCAGAAUUGCCAUGGCUUAUUAAAUUAAAUAAGACCCCAAAAGCUCAAAUGGAAACAAAAUUGAUAAAUUUGACUUUAUUAAAUCUAAAACCUUUUGCUUCUCAAAAGACAUUGUUAAGGAAAAAUAUGCAGGCUACAGACUGGAAAUAGAUAUUUGCAAAUUAUAGAUCUGACAAGGACUUGAAUCUGGAAUAUAUAAAGAAUUCUUUUAACUCAGUAAUAAAAAGACCAACAACCUAUUAAAAAAUGGGCAAAACAUUUGAACAGGCAUUUUACUGAAGAAGAUAGGUAACUGUCAGAAAGUUACAUGAGAAAGUGCUCAAAAUCAUUAGUCAUUGGGGAAAUGCUAGUUAAAACCACAAUGAGACAUCACUACAGACCUAUCAGAGUAGCUAAAAUCAGAAGGAUUAAAACAAUUGAAUAUAUGAAGUGUAAGUAAGUAUGUGGGACAAAUGCAACACUCACCCCUCGGAGGAAUAAUGUACAAUUCUGUAACCAAUUUAAAAAACAAUUUAACAGUUUCAUAAAAAGUUGAUUAUGUAGUUA